RNAcentral lists this ribosomal RNA (2113 nucleotides) under Triticum aestivum (bread wheat). RNAcentral's name for it is "partial small subunit ribosomal RNA". The record is from RNAcentral. Lineage: Eukaryota; Viridiplantae; Streptophyta; Magnoliopsida; Poales; Poaceae.
CUGUCUUAUCGCAAUCGAGUCAAUCCUAUAAAAGAAUCGUAAGCGGCCGAGCGGCCGCACUCAAUGUCUCCUCGUCGGUGUGGUGUCCAGGGGCGAGUGCCGGUGACGUGCGUGGUAGGCGGCAGCGCAGCGCUCGAGGCGAACCGGCGGGUGACGCCAUUAGUGCGCACUCGAGACGGCUGUGGGUUACACGUGCCAGCUGGACGCUCGGUGGACAUGGCGCAACUCGGGGAGGUACCGGAGCACGAGCGUUGGCGUCACAGCGCGCACCGAUCGCAACCGGCAGCGGUACCGGCGCCUCGCCCCGUUCUAGGUGCCUCGACGCGUACCCCACUCGUAUAGCCGGGGCACAACGAUUUAAUACUGGCCGAUAGCAAACCCAACUCGCCGCCUCUACCACUUAAAGUUAUGGAGUCCAACUACCUGACCACGAAAGUGACACGGACUGUCUCUUAGUCCGUUCACCACCUACGGACGUACGUCACGGUCGAGUCUACCAUUAUGACCAAUUUAGUUGAGUAUUAGUUACCCUCAAGAUUGCUGCAUAAUAUGUUCCUCGAUACCCUACGAACACGAUCCGGCAACUAGUGUCACGUAGCGUUCCACUUUCCCAAAUGAUGAACCAAUAUACCUUGUCCAUACAAAGGUGUGUACCCACAGCCAACGAGAAGAACUACGGGGUAUUGAUUACUUAAGCGAUGAGUCGUGUUUGUUGUCGAUAAACACAGUACCCUGUGAAGAACGAAGAAUACAAUUUUACUGUUAUACCGAAACAAAUACGUCUUAUUAGUAGACCUAUAAAUUACUAGCAGGUACAUGUGUAAAUCUUGUACGAUCCCGGGAACACAUACGUGUGAAGAGAUUAUACCAGUACAUAAUCAACUGUUUACCUACAGGUAGCCUACCAUGGUGAAACUAUGUCACGUAGGUCGGAACAUCCGGAGUGUUAUAUAGGGAAGCGGUUCGAAGUGACACUACGGUUUGAUUGAUAAAGUGUUUGUAGAAACAAUUAACUAUUUGACUAAAGAAGGUCGACGGGUUUUUUGUCUCAUGAUUAUGUGUACCUGACAAAUCAACAGUUCCGUCGAAAUGUUUAGUAAAACCCCUGCCUGAUUUGUAUAAAUGUGGUCAACUUACGCUUCUUUUCUUUAGUAGCAGAUGAUUAUGAGGUGAUUUACUGAGGUUGUUAAGUGUAGAGAUCAUAACAUAAUAUGAUGUACAGUUUCUUACUGAUUGUCAUGAGUAAGGAGAAAGUUUCAACAGUUUCUUUAUAUUGGUCAUCUCUUGGACCUUCCUAUCACUAGAGAUUUGAGGUCUAUAGAUUCCCCCAUUAACGGAUAUUCUAUCCUGAACGAACCUACGUAAAGUAUCUAUUAUUUAGACAUUUCUCACCAAUCCUCCAUUAGGGAAACAUUUGAUUAUAUUGUGGCAGAUCUAGUGAUGAAAUCACUAGAUUUCAUAAGGGAGGCAAGGUUUUAUCUACUGGGUUGAAACAUAAUUUCAAUCAUGUUUCAACUCAGUAGAUAAAAUCUUGCCUCCCUCAUCACAAAAUUUGCCAGGAUAUAAUCAAAUGUUUUCGCCAUUGUAUGUAUAGACUUGUAAAUGGGUGGUGUGCAGCUAGUUUCCCGUGCGCGUCGGGUCCUUUUCUUCUUCCGGACAUGUGCAUAUAUUGGUGGCUUCUUUGGAAUCUUGUGGUCCAGUUGCUUGGUGCUACCGGGUGUGUGUGGGUUUUAGCGAUUGGCGGGGUUGUUUUAGCGAUGUGUGCAAUUCUUUUAAAAGUGGCUUCCGGAUGUCGGUGUACGCUAAAGAUGUGUCGAUCCAUGGUUUGAUUAUGGUGCGCAGUGUAUACAUUAUGUUGUAUGUAGUGAAAGUAGGUUCACCCGCUAAGAACCUCGCUUUUUCGAGGGACCUUAUCUCCGAACCCAUGAUCUUGUUACAGUCACGCAAUGUUGCCUUAUAUUAUAAGAUUAUGCAAUCGAACACUAAAUGGACAGUUGAUCGCCUCACUGUACGCGUAAACGCGCCGAUCUCUGUAUAUAUAGCAUCAUUAAUCAGAAAUUUAAACUCUACUAGAAAUAUACAAAUUAUUCUAUCAUCGUGAAGUCCUUUAGUA